Molecule: ribosomal RNA, 444 nt
Filed under: uncultured bacterium
Lineage: Bacteria
Description: partial 16S ribosomal RNA
Rfam family: Bacterial small subunit ribosomal RNA
Source: RNAcentral
CCUACGGGUGGCAGCAGUGGGGAAUAUUGGGCAAUGGACGCAACUCUUACCCAGCAAUGCCGCGUGAAUGAAGAAGGCCUUCGGAUUGUAAAGCUCUUUAAUCGGGGACGAAAAAAAUGACGGUACUCAACGGAUAAGCACCGGCUAACAACGUGCCAGCAGCCGCGGUCAUACGUAGGGGGCAAGCGUUGAUCGGAAUGACUGGGCGUAAAGGGUGUGUAGGCGGUGUAGCAAGCGAGAAGGGAAAUACCUAGAGCUUAACUCAGGUGCUGCUUCUAAAACUGCUAUACUUGAGUGCAGUAGAGGAAAGGGGAAUUCCUAGUGUAGCGGUGGAAUGCGUAGAUAUUAGGAGGAACAUCAGUGGCGAAGGCGACUUUCUGGACUGUAACUGACGCUGAGGCACGAAAGUGUGGGGAGCAAACAGGAUUAGAUACCCCAGUAGUC